AGAAGCUCAGGCUCAGCUAGAAGCAGCUGCUCACCUGGUAAAGCUGCUGGACUCACCUGCUCAGAGUUUCCUGAAACCAGGCUGGUGGGAGAAAACACUCGCUGUGCAGGUUCUCUGCAGAUCAGGAGGUCCAGAGUUUGGAGACCAGCAUUAAUCUUCCCGUGGACUUUGGAGAAAGCAGCUGUUUUUUGUUCACAUCUUCACUGCGGCUCUGCCGUGUCUGCAGAUACGACACAUUCAGUAAACUCCACACUUACAGUGAUAAUCAGUGACAACUGCUUUCAGUCUGGAUCUCAUUUCAUGAAGUGUUCACAUUUCAAAGAACAUAACGCCGGCAUUACUCUCACCUGCUCAGACUCGGUGCGCCUGCUGAAUGGAUCCAGUCGCUGUUCAGGCAGACUGCAGGUGAAGACUAA
This is a long non-coding RNA of Salarias fasciatus (jewelled blenny), 416 nucleotides long. RefSeq lists it as uncharacterized. The record is from RefSeq and is a predicted model, not a curated record. Lineage: Eukaryota; Metazoa; Chordata; Actinopteri; Blenniiformes; Blenniidae. The transcript has 3 exons.